GGUGUCAGAAGUGGGAUCGCAGAGGGGCCACAAAAAGAGGAGUGACAGAGUGUGCUGUGUGCUGCAUGGCCCUGCGUGCAGCAACUUGUGUCCUGAAUAAAGACCAGUCCUCCUCA
Molecule: non-coding RNA, 116 nt
Organism: Oryzias latipes (Japanese medaka)
Lineage: Eukaryota; Metazoa; Chordata; Actinopteri; Beloniformes; Adrianichthyidae
Source: RefSeq, a predicted model, not a curated record